AGUGUUUGACCCAAUCCACUGCUCUGUCCUCUAAAGGAAUUAAGCAAAAAAAACAUUUUUUUUUUCUCUUCAGGACAGAUCUUCAGAAGGGAAGGAUCAUAAAAGGAUUAUGGGAAUUCAGAGCCAUAAGAGAAUUUAGAGAUCAUGUGACAUCCUGGAACUCAAGACCACAGAGAAAGUUUGCAAAAUCUGGAAUCUCUUAGGCUCUUUGGUAUCGGAAAUGUUUAACAUGAAGAGAUGUUCUACACAUCAGAUAUCCACACAUUUCUGAUAAAAUCUUAGGUAAAGUCUUUACAUAUAGUAUAAACUAAAAAGUAUGAAAUCAGUCUUGUUAAAUGGAAUGAUUUUAAUGUAUUAUUUAAUUGUAUUUUUUUUUUCUAUGUGGACAAAUCAAACUUUGUUUCCUG
This 407-nucleotide long non-coding RNA is filed under the name Canis lupus familiaris (dog). RNAcentral's name for it is "lncRNA (ENSCAFG00000058745.1, ENSCAFG00845018172.1)". The record is from RNAcentral. Lineage: Eukaryota; Metazoa; Chordata; Mammalia; Carnivora; Canidae.